GACGAACGCUGGCGGCGUGCUUAACACAUGCAAGUCGAACGGAAAGGCCCCUUUGGGGGUACUCGAGUGGCGAACGGGUGAGUAACACGUGAGUAACCUGCCCUUGACUUCGGGAUAACUUCAGGAAACUGGGGCUAAUACCGGAUAGGAAUCCUUGCUGCAUGGUGGGGGUUGGAAAGCUUCGGCGGUUUUGGAUGGACUCGCGGCUUAUCAGCUUGUUGGUGGGGUAGUGGCUUACCAAGGCGUUGACGGGUAGCCGGCCUGAGAGGGCGACCGGCCACAUUGGGACUGAGAGACGGCCCAGACUCCGACGGGAGGCAGCAGUGGGGAAUAUUGCACAAUGGGCGGAAGCCGGAUGCAGCAACGCCGCGUGCGGGAUGACGGCCUUCGGGUUGUAAACCGCUUUCAGCAGGGGCGAAGCUUGUGGUGACGGUACCUGCAGAAGAAGCACCGGCUAACUACGUG
RNAcentral lists this ribosomal RNA (465 nucleotides) under uncultured bacterium. Its description in RNAcentral is "partial 16S ribosomal RNA". It matches the Rfam family "Bacterial small subunit ribosomal RNA", at positions 28 to 507 of the family's 1533-position model. The record is from RNAcentral.